This 2550-nucleotide ribosomal RNA is filed under the name Triticum aestivum (bread wheat). RNAcentral describes it as "partial small subunit ribosomal RNA". The record is from RNAcentral. Lineage: Eukaryota; Viridiplantae; Streptophyta; Magnoliopsida; Poales; Poaceae.
AUGGAGGAGGACGCCGAGGGCAUGGACCGCCUCGACAUGGACGGCGACUUCGUGGGCGGCCGCUUCGGCCGCGACGGGGAGUUCUACUACCAGAGCCGCCGCGAGCGGGCGCCCCAGACCCGCGAGGACGCGCUCUACGGCGUCUUCGGCGAGGGGGACUCCGACUACGACUCCGAGGAGGACGAGGCGUCGCGCCGGCGCCGGCGCCGCAAGCGCCGCAGGGACGACGAGCCCGACCUCACCAGGCCCGUGCAGUUCGUCUCCAAGGGCAUCAGUGCCCCAAAGCCAGAGGAGGAGGAGGAGCAGCAGAGGCCUGGGCUUGGCCAGGCCGCAUCCUCCUCGGGCACUGCUGCCGCCGCCGCCUCCGAGGAGGAUGCAGAGGAGGACCAGGAGCCAUACAUGGACCUGCCCACGGGAUUCGGGCAGAGGAUUGCCGAGGGUGCACGCGCGAGGCGGGAGGAGAAGGAGCGGCAGCAGGAGUCGGCCAAGCGCCGGCGUGGUGCAUUGGGGGCAGGGUUUGAACCUGGAAAACCGGCGCCGCCACCUGGGAGCCUGGAGUCCAACACGAAGGUGGCUAAGAUGAUGGCUAUGAUGGGGUACAAGAGAGGAGAAGGCCUCGGCAAGAAUGCUCAGGGAAUCACUGCACCAGUGGAGACCACCUUGCGCCCCAAGAACGCCGGACUCGGCAGCGUCGAGGGGUUUAAGGAGCCCAGAGCUUUCACUCCCAAGGAGAACUUGCCACCCCCACCUCCUCCACCACCUGCCAAGAAGGAAAAGCAACGGUGGUCCAAGAAGGCCAGCGCGAAGAAGGAUCAGGUCUUGACUAAGAAUGAGCUGUUGGCAAGGCGCGCCGAGCAGGAACAGGAUGAGCAACCCACAUUUGUCCAAAAGGUGAUUGACAUGCGAGGGCCUCAGGCUCGUGUGUUGACAGACUUGAAGGGGCUCAGUACUGAACAUGAGAUGGAGGCGAAUGAUGUGCCAAUGCCGGAGUUGCAGUACAAUGUGCGGCUGCUUGUUGACGAGACUGAGGCUGAUAUUGUCAGGUUGGAUGGGCAGCUGCGGCGGGAGCAGGAGAAGGUGGCUAGUUUGGUGCGAGAGAAGGAGAAAGUAGCAAAGCAGGAGGCUUUGCAGAAACACCAGCUGCAAGUUAUGGAGACAAUUGCAGAUGUGCUGGAGAAGGUCCGGGUUGAUGACACCGCUGGUUUGCUCACUCUGGGGGGGUUGCUUAAGACCUUCCAGGAAUUGAAGGUGCACUAUGAGGAGGAGUUCAAAAUGUGCAGUGUUGCAUGGGUUGCUUGCCGAUUUGCGCAUCCACUACUUAUCCGGGUAUUUCAGGGGUGGCAACCGCUGGAGAAUCCAUUGUUUGGCUUGGAGGUCAUGUCAUCGUGGAAGGAUUUGCUGCAGGGAGACCAGCCAUAUGAUUUCUCAGAUGCUACUGAAUCAAUGGCUCCAUAUGCACAGCUUGUCAGUGAGGUCAUCCUACCAGCUGUGCGGAUAUCAGGAACUAAUUCAUGGAAGGCUAGGGAUCCAGAACCAAUGCUCCGUUUUCUUGAAUCAUGGGAACGGUUGCUGCCCCCUAUCGUGCUCCAUUCAAUAUUGGAGCAUGUAAUAAUGCCAAAGCUCACAGCUGCAGUCGAAUCUUGGGACCCGCGGAGCGAGAGUGUACCAAUCCAUGUAUGGGUACACCCAUGGUUGCCAACUCUAGGGCAAAGGAUAGAGACAUUGUGCCACUCUAUCCGGUACAAGCUGAGUAGUGUCCUCCAAUUGUGGCAAGCUCACGAUUCAUCAGCUUAUGCUGUGCUAUCUCCAUGGAAGGGUGUAUUUGAUCCAGCAAGUUGGGAAGACUUGAUAGUGCGUUAUAUCAUUCCUAAACUGAAAAUGGCACUCCAGGAGUUUCAGAUUAACCCAGCAAGCCAGAAGUUUGACCAGUUUAACUGGGUUAUGAUUUGGGCUUCUGCUGUCCCGGUACACCAUAUGGUCCAUAUGUUGGAAGUUGAUUUCUUUAGCAAGUGGCAGCUGGUUUUGUACCAUUGGUUGAGCUCACCAAAUCCUGAUUUCAAUGAGAUCAUGAAUUGGUAUAAGGGCUGGAGGGGCCUUUUCCCACCAGAGUUACUUGCCAAUGAACGCAUACGGAUGCUUCUAACGGCUGGUCUUGAGAUGAUGAACCAAGCUGCUGAAGGACAUGAGUUGGCGCAGCCAGGGGCUAGGGAGAAUGUUGGCUUCUUGAGAGCAACAGAGAAGCGGCAAUUUGAUGCAGCACAGCAAGCAUCGCAAUACCCAUCUUACCAUGCUGCGCCAGGAGCAGCCAUGGGAGAUAUGAGCUUCAAGGAGUCUAUUCAGGCAUAUGCGGCUGACCAAGGUUUGUUGUUUAUGCCUAGAGUUAACAAAUCCUAUAACGGCAUGCCAGUGUACGAAUUUGGCACCGUGAGCAUUUGCAUAGACUCUGUCAAGCGACUACUCUAUGCGCAACUUCAAGAGGGAACUGAAAGAUGGAGUUCUGUGUCUCUUACACAACUGCUGGAAAUGAACCGGAUGGCAAGACCACGUUAG